This 118-nucleotide ribosomal RNA is filed under the name Lepisosteus oculatus (spotted gar). Lineage: Eukaryota; Metazoa; Chordata; Actinopteri; Semionotiformes; Lepisosteidae. The record is from RNAcentral.
ACCAGCAGCUACAUUGCCCUGCAAUUCACAACUAGCAACCCACUGAAGCUAAGCAGGUGUGAGCCUGGUCAGUAUCUGGAUGGGAGACCUCAUGGGAAAGCUGAGGUUGUUGCUGGAA